Molecule: long non-coding RNA, 493 nt
Organism: Dama dama (fallow deer)
Lineage: Eukaryota; Metazoa; Chordata; Mammalia; Artiodactyla; Cervidae
Exons: 3
Source: RefSeq, a predicted model, not a curated record
AGGGAGCGCGUGGCUGCGUGUCCAGCCCACGGGACUUCCCUGGCGCGCGCCGUGAGUCACGCCGACCCCGAGACCUGGCGCGCCCACUCGCCGUGGACUGAAGGGCGGAGGUCAGGGCUGGGCGGAAGCCGAGCUGGGCUCAGUCCACCCUGUGGUGGGAGCGUGAGCCGAGUCCAGCUUCGGAGAACCUGCUCCAGCCAGUUAUAAACCCGCCCCGCCUCCUGCGUAAACCCGCAAAGACGUAGAUAACACUUGCAGAUACCCGGACCAGCCCUGGACCCACACCGUCUUUCCUUGCCCAGUAAACCACUGUGUGGCUGCCCCAGCUAGGCCUCAUGCUGCGCUGUCGGAAGCCCACUCCCCCCAGCCUCCUGGAAUGGCACUCCCCAUCAGAGCAGGACCUGCAGGGACCCCAGGGUCUGCCCUUGACACUUGGAGAUGUCUGCUUGUGGCCACCUGCCCGCUUGCCUCUAUCAGACACUGAGCCAGCAGA